This 253-nucleotide ribosomal RNA is filed under the name uncultured bacterium. RNAcentral's name for it is "partial 16S ribosomal RNA". It matches the Rfam family "Bacterial small subunit ribosomal RNA", at positions 524 to 776 of the family's 1533-position model. The record is from RNAcentral.
UACGAAGGGGGCUAGCGUUGUUCGGAAUUACUGGGCGUAAAGCGCACGUAGGCGGCUUGGUAUGUCGGGUGUGAAAUCCCCGGGCUCAACCUGGGAACUGCAUCCGAAACUGCCUUGCUAGAGUAUGGGAGAGGGAAGUGGAAUUUCCGGUGUAGCGGUGAAAUGCGUAGAUAUCUGGAGGAACACCGGUGGCGAAGGCGCCCACCUGGCCUGCUACUGACGCUGAAGCUCGAAAGCUAGGGGAGCAAACGGG